Molecule: long non-coding RNA, 1483 nt
Filed under: Felis catus (domestic cat)
Lineage: Eukaryota; Metazoa; Chordata; Mammalia; Carnivora; Felidae
Description: lncRNA (ENSFCAG00000051261.1)
Source: RNAcentral
UUGGAACCAGAUUCAUUCACCCAGCCACAUUUAAGAGCUUCUGGGGCUGUGUGUCAGACAUUCUGCUAGUUGCUGGCAUAGAGUGAUGGAGAAAGUAAACACAGUGCCUGGUCUCAGGGGCUCCCAGACCAGCAGGGCAGGCUGACAGAUACACAUUUGCUCACACCUGACUACUAGCAGGGGCAACAUGCAGAGGCCCAUGAAGGAGGCGUUGGGCUGGAGCUAGGGCUCCGGGUGUGACUUGGCCCCUGCCUUUUGUCCGGACUGGAUGACUCAGGGCAGCCAGGCUGGAGAGGCAGAAGGAAGCAAGGAGACUGAUGGAGGAAAUGCUUCAGAGAAGAGGAAAUAUGCAGAAUGUCCCUUUCUCAUCCCACGUGGCUCAGGCCUAAUGACAAAAGCACGUCACCUACAGAUGUUCCUGAAUGGCACUGGGGCCCUUGGGCUUAGGAGUUGACUUUCGCAGGGUCCCUGGACUUCGAGGUGCUACUGUCUGGCAUCUCCUUCAAGGGAAAGCCAGAUCUCCAAACAGCGGCAGAACCAGGCAUGUAGAGCCCAGUGAGUGGCUAGGAGUCAGUGGGGCUCUCUACCUGCCCAUCUCAUCCAGGGCACAACAGGGCCUGGCCUGGAGGACAGUGUCCCCGCUCAGCUCUGCCAGUCAGACUGACACUAUCAUCUCAACCUUAGUGGGGAUGGAUUUAGCAAGCCAAAGCUCCCUGGAAGAGGAAAUUCCUUUCCUGCAGAGCUCUCCAGGAGAAGCAGAGAAAGAUCUCAGCGCUCAGAGAUUAGCUGGGAUUGCUCUGGAGGCAUGUGAUGAUGGUCAUAAUAGCACCAAGGAAUGACAUACUGUUGAUUUGCUCUCAGGCACAGUACCAAGCAUUUGACCUGAAUUAUUCAAUCCACACACCAGUCACGAGACAGGUGUUUUUAGUUGUCUCCAUUGUACAGAUGAAGAAACUGAGGUGGAGUGGGGUUAAACCACUUGUCAGGGUCAGUAUCAGCAUUGAAUCCCUGCAGCCUGACCUGGGGUCCUCGGCUCUGACCAACUUGGUGAUGUUGUCUCCUCCUGGAAGUUCUUACUGAUCACUUAUAGACAGAUCAGGGAUUUCUUUAUGGCAAGGUAUAUACAAAGGAAAGUGCCGAUAGUCUUUAUUUUUAAAACCUUCAAAGAAAGCAGAAAAGUUAGAAGCAGAAACAGAAGAAAAAAAGAUUUAGAUCAAGUAGUAAUUAUUCAAUAACUCAAGUUUAGAAAGAUACUAGAUUUGGGGCACCUGGGUGGCUCAGUCAGUUAAGUGAUCGACUUCAGCUCAGGUCGUGAUCUCAGUUUGUGAGUUUGAGCCCCUCAAUGGUCUCCAUGCUGACAGCUCAGAACCUGAAGCCUGCUUUGGAUUCUGUCUCAUUCUCCUCUGCCCCUCCCCCACUUGUGCUCUGUCUCUCUCAGUCUCUCAAAAAUAAAUAAAAAUGUAAAAAAAAUUAAAAAAAGAAA